CUAUGCGCCUUGCCAGCCCGCUCAGGUGUGCCAGCAGCCGCGGUAAUACGUAGGGGCAAGCGUUAUCCGGAUUUACUGGGUGUAAAGGGAGCGUAGACGGCAGGGCAAGUCUGGAGUGAAAGGCAGGGGCCCAACCCCUGGACUGCUCUGGAAACUGUCCGGCUGGAGUGCAGGAGAGGUAAGUGGAAUUCCUAGUGUAGCGGUGAAAUGCGUAGAUAUUAGGAGGAACACCAGUGGCGAAGGCGGCUUACUGGACUGUAACUGACGUUGAGGCUCGAAAGCGUGGGGAGCAAACAGG
RNAcentral lists this ribosomal RNA (298 nucleotides) under uncultured bacterium. Its description in RNAcentral is "partial 16S ribosomal RNA". It matches the Rfam family "Bacterial small subunit ribosomal RNA", at positions 475 to 776 of the family's 1533-position model. The record is from RNAcentral.